This 67-nucleotide transfer RNA is filed under the name Alcedoecus sp. RNAcentral's name for it is "tRNA-Ser". The record is from RNAcentral. Lineage: Eukaryota; Metazoa; Arthropoda; Insecta; Psocodea; Philopteridae.
GAAGGAUGUAGUUCAGACCAGGAUUUCUAAUCCAUGUUCUCAUCAGUUGAAUUCUGAUGAUCCUUUU